Molecule: long non-coding RNA, 708 nt
Organism: Osmia bicornis bicornis
Lineage: Eukaryota; Metazoa; Arthropoda; Insecta; Hymenoptera; Megachilidae
Exons: 2
Source: RefSeq, a predicted model, not a curated record
UGAUAAUUUUCCAUAUGAACAAUUUAUGAACUCCUUUAAAAUGAAAAAGUAUGCGCUAUUACGUUAACAAGGGUAGGUCUUAAAGAGAGGGACAAAAUAAUAAGUUUGAAAGGUGUACUGCAUUUUAACGUGAUAAUAGGAUUCCACCAGUGUCUUUUGACAUCAACCAGAAUAAUAUAAAAUUCUUUCUCUGGGACUUUCUUUUCUUCAUGGUUCGAUAUACCUCUAGGCAAAAGACAUUAUUAUCAUCGUAGCUGUGGCUCGAUUAAUGAUUCACGAGAUGGAAUACGUUCAGUUCGUAUUUAAUAACGUCUGAGUUCGUUCUUUCUCCAGCGUGCCAGACAUCCGCUAUACGGGAUUCUCCGACUAUAUCUACGUACAGCGACUACAGGCCCAACAAGACUGGACAGGCCUUUGUGUUCAAAGGGUAUUGAAUUUGUUCAUUGAGGACAAGCACCCUCUGCUCUAUCCUAGGAUAAAAAUGUAAAAAACUUCGCAGUGCAACAGUCUAACAAACGUCAACAGUAACAGCAGAUAACUUUGAUAUCAACGACUAUGCUCCAUCACUCAUUGUCUGACCUAGAGCAUGGUGAUGACUAGUCAGUCUUACCGCGACCGCCAAGGGAUGCGGAUCUUCCCGUUAAAUAUACAUGUACCUUUAAUUUAUUAUAUUUCUUGAGCUCAAUAAACUUUAUUAUUUAAACUUUA